CUGUCAGUAGUCGUAAGAGAAAAGAGUAGCGACGAAGCUUCAAGAAGCGAGAACCUUUAGGGGGAUCUCUAUCCUUCUUUUUAUACUCUCUAUUUAUAUUAUCUUGUAGUAAAUUUAGCUAUGGUGGAGAUAGAAGUUCAGUAUUCGAUUGAAUCACUUGAAUUUACAACAUUGUCAAUCACUCGAGAAUAUUAUCGGUACGCAAGCAUGUGGUUUACGCGUUGAGUUCAGCAAACACGCAUUAUACUCUUAUAGAAAGAGAAAGAGAUUCCUUCACGGUCCCUCUUCGUCGGCGAACAUCCCCCUCCCCCUCCAUUCGUUCACACUCCAGAUGUAUAAACUAUAAACUGCCAUAAUCAAUAAUCAUAGGCUGUUAUUCAGAGUCGUUGCGUUAUUCUCAAGAUUGUCUUAAGCAUUUGCUUAAGUCGUCGAGUUACAUAUUCCGGUAAAUAAGCAAAUGCUUAAGGCAUCGCUUCAAGCAUUUGCUUGGCUAAAUAAGUAAUUGCUCAGUCUGGAGGUCUGUGCGCACGCUCAGUUCAGUCGAAUAAGCAAGUGCUCGAAUAAGAAAUUCUUAUUCGGCCGAAAGAGGUAUUUAUUGCUUGAAAAGUGAGGUUGGAUUUUCAAGUCGACGUUUACUCGACUUAAGACAAGCCCACACGUACAGGUCACGUACAGGACGUAAGCAUUAGUGUUCGUGAGCCGUCAAAGCGUUUCAGAGGUUAGUUGUACGGAAAAAAUGGUUCUCGCGUCGAACAAAAUACAAAUUGAUAUCGAAGAGGAUAUGGAAGAUAUCGAAAAUGUUAAAAAUAUCGACGACGUUGAAGAGAGCAUCAUGGACUUAAUUAAUAAUUCGAACCUAAGGAGGAACCUAUUCACGAUUGGCAAAAUUCAUUCGAAUAUUACGAUGAAUUCAAAUUUAGAGGACGGCCCAAAUUUAAUAAAUGAGAUAUAUGAUUGAAGGAUAUAGGAAUCCAGGGAUGGAACUUGUGGGGGUAGCCAUUUCCGCAGUAAAGGAUUUAUCUAAACACGAGUCAGUGAAUAGUUUUGUGAACUAUUGUGAACCAACCAGAAAAAGUGUUAGAGCCGAAGAGAGGUGAUUCUUCGCCAAUAUGCACACUUUUCGGGGCAAUGGCUCGUUCAGUGAGACUACUCCGGUGGAGCGGACUGCCGUAGCGAAAGGGUUAAACACACACUCCAUCACGGAGCAGUUCUUCUUGAAUAAAUAAUAGUUUUAGCAGA
Long non-coding RNA from Ceratina calcarata, 1239 nucleotides. RefSeq lists it as uncharacterized. NCBI's taxonomy places the organism in Eukaryota, Metazoa, Arthropoda, Insecta, Hymenoptera, Apidae. The record is from RefSeq and is a predicted model, not a curated record. The transcript has 3 exons.